CCUACGGGAGGCAGCAGUGGGGGAUAUUGCACAAUGGGGGAAACCCUGAUGCAGCGACGCCGCGUGGGUGAAGAAGCGCCUCGGCGCGUAAAGCCCUGUCAGCAGGGAAGAAAAUGACGGUACCCGAAGAAGAAGCACCGGCUAACUACGUGCCAGCAGCCGCGGUACUACGUAGGGGGCAAGCGUUAUACGGAUUUAGUGGGUGUAAAGGGAGCGCAGGCGGCACGGCAAGCCUGAUGUGAAAGCCCGCGGCCCAACCGCGGGACUGCAUUGGGAACUACCGGGCUGGAGUGCCGGAGAGGUAGGCGGAAUGCCUAGUGUAGCGGUGAAAUGCGUAGAUAUUAGGAGGAACACCAGUGGCGAAGGCGGCCUACUGGACUCCCACUGACACUGAGGCUCGAAAGUGUGGGUAUCGAACAGGAUUAGAUACCCUAGUAGUC
Molecule: ribosomal RNA, 440 nt
Filed under: uncultured bacterium
Lineage: Bacteria
Description: partial 16S ribosomal RNA
Rfam family: Bacterial small subunit ribosomal RNA
Source: RNAcentral